Molecule: long non-coding RNA, 4705 nt
Organism: Salarias fasciatus (jewelled blenny)
Lineage: Eukaryota; Metazoa; Chordata; Actinopteri; Blenniiformes; Blenniidae
Exons: 2
Source: RefSeq, a predicted model, not a curated record
GGUCGGGGCAGGGCACAGCGUGGUAGGUAUCAGGGUCCGCCACCCAGCCGACACCAGUACCUUCCUCAAUAUUAUUCAGGAGAAUGCUUCAACUGAGGUGCGCUGGAUCAUUGGGCUGCCAGAUGCCCACUCGGGAGGAUGGCUGCGCCACCAACAGGCCCACCGCAACACCAGCAGCCUCCUCCACAGGCACCAGAACCACAACACCAGCUCCCACCGAGUCAAGGUGCACUGCAAUGCCCCACCUUUUCAUGGGCACCCAGAAACCAGUACUACUCUGCCUAGGGGUGCCCAGGAGGAGCCGAUCAUAGGACCCAGUCAGAGCCCAUGAUGAACAUUGAGGUGAACGACCACACUGUUCCUAUGAUGGUGGACACUGGCGCUCGCUAUUCCACCCUCACUGAUCUCCCUGAGGGAGCACUACUGUCAGGUGACGGCGUCACACUCACCGGCUUCUCUGGGAAACCCAUGAUCGUACCUCUGACUAAUCUGCUUCCCACACGACUGGGAACCACCUGCUGUGAUCAUCAAUUUGUUCUACAAUCCUCCUGCCCAGUGAACCUCCUGGGAAGCGACUUAUUCAUCAAAGCCAAAGCCUCGAUCCUCUGCUCGCCAGAUGGACUGGAAAUAAUGUUUCCUUCAGGACAGAUGCUACAAGUGUCUGCCCCUCUGGGACAUGGAACUGACCUCUGUCACAUCCCAGAUGAACCAAACCCCGCUGUUCUUCACCAAGGAGCCAACAUCUAUUGGCUGCUCCUGCCUGAAGCUGAAACUCCUGGUGAACUCUCGGUACUUAAGGUGUUUCGCGACUGGUGGCCCUGGAUUUCUACGCUGCACUCCUACCACCCCCCGAUUGAUCCUCCGCAUUGUACUCUAUUCUAUGACAGGGUAGGCGAUGAAGUUUAUCAAGACGCCUUUCGAAAUGACUUGGCAGGGACCUGCCAUGUUGUCCAGUCUGACUUUGUUGUGGUUGGCCCACAGGGUGUCGCUUCAGCUGUCACACUCACACCUGAUACACUCAGUUGGUACAUGAUGUCAUCCACAGCCUACCCACACAUUUCACUUGCACUCAGUCCCAACCACCAAGCGAGAGAUUUAGACCCUAUGGUGAAAUGAGCAGUAGAGGCCACUGAUUGGGCUCCAACGGGAACCUCUGGUCUGCUCUACUCUGCAUCAACCGAAUUGUACAAAAUUCAGCAGUCUGCCACUGAUUCUGCGGUGGCAGAAGAAGAGUGGUUUACCCGCUCUUACGGUUGUGAAAAGUCUGACUCGGAUGGGGCUGCGGCGCUUCUGCAAUCCAUUCCUAACUCUCUGUGGUCACAAAGUCCGACAGAUGUUGGACUGUAUAAAAUUACACCUGUAGCUAUAACUGUUGACUAUUCACAUUCAUAUGCAUUCUGCAGUAUCCUCGCCCACAACAUGAAUGCUUAGGAAUUGCUGACACAAUCACAGGUCUCUUGUACUCAGGAGUCCUGGAACCCGCAUCUGACAAUGUGUGGAACACACCACUUCUACCAGUCUGUAAGUCGACACAUGAAUAUGGUACAUGACCUCCAACUUAGUAAUCAUGUGAUUAAAGACUGGACAAGGGUUGCAUAAUUUGAAUGCAAAACUAAAUUUUAUUCCUCUGGCCGACUCCGCUUUUUCUGCCGUAGAACAGGCUCUAGCCUAAGCUGCCUCAUUGGCAUGACCUGACAAUUCUAGACCAUUCUUUAUGGAUGUUUCUGAAAAAUCCGGCUCCAUUGCCGCCGUUCUUUUUCAGAAAAGAGAGGGGACAGGAGACAGACAAAUUUUGACAUAUGUAAGCUUUUCUCUUGAUCCAUUGGAAGCUAAACAGCCACCCUGUGCCAGGUAUGCUGCAGGUCUGACAAAAGUCAUACUCAAAAUCGAUCACAUUGUAAUGGACACCCAUACAGAACCCAGACUACUCCUCAGAUCUGCUUACGCAGUCGUGGCAGACGUUGGCCAACGGACUUAUUAUGUUCAGGAAGCAGACCUCAUCGGAGGUACACAGUCAGCCCAGUGGGCUGAACUCAUCGCUCUCACUAGGGUUCUAGAGAGGGCGGAUGGUUGAAGAGUCAACAUCUACACUGACUCAGCAUACGCUGCAGGCGUAGCGCAUGUGGAACUCCCAUGUUGGCUAAGAAAUGGGUUCGUAACAUCACCCGGAACCCCCGUUAAACAUCAAGACGACAUUACCAAUCUGCAUGCUGCCCUACUGCUCCCAAAACAGGUAGCGGUCAUUAAAUGCAAAGCACACACAGGAGGGACCUCCUAUGUGGACUUAGGCAACCAUGCAGCGGACGCUGCAGCGAAGAAGGCUGCAGGCUACAAAACUUCAAAUUAAGUGGUCACUGCAGAAAAAAAAAAAAAAAGAAGAAAUCACAAUCGACCUCAUCCUGAAAGACCAAGCAAAAGCCUCACCUGAAGAGAAAGCCGGCUGGUGUACUCUAGGGAAGGCAGUGAAAGACGACGCAGUCUCGUCCACCACAGGUUCCACCCUGUUCGAGCUGGAACACGGACAACCUCUUCCGGGACCAGGAACAGACCUGUCUCCGUUACAAGACCAGGUGAGUGUACUCCCAAAAACUUAUCUCGAGUCUCUCCAUGCUCUAGCUGCAGGAUUCCAGAUCCAGAGGAAAGACAACCCAGGCCCAUCAAUCCAACCUGAGCCAUGGGAGACGACUCGACGGUCCCCACCAGCAUUGGUGGUCCUGAAGUGGAAGUAGGCGGAGCCCAGAUGGAUGGGUCCAUUCAGAGUGACGGAGAGGACGUCUCAUGCGAUCCAGCUGGAGGGGACGGGUUCGACAUGGUUCAACUCAUCCCAGUGUGCCCCAGCACCAGACCUGGAGGAGUCGAGCCACCCAGCAGCCACGGAGGACCGCCAGACCAGGGAGCCAACCCCAGAGCCGGAGAUGAUGAGGUCCUUUGGACCUACCUAGGAUCACUCGUAAAGGGGAGACACGGUGCAAGACCGAUCUUCCCCGACGGCAGGAGACGGCGCUACAGGCGGAACCCGCCGGGUGUCCUCUGUUGCGGCCUUCUUCUGCUAGCAGCAAUCCCACCCCUACUGAUAUGGGCAUUGUAUGAGCCACGCACCACACAUGCAGUCCUGACAACCCAUGACGACCCCCCAAUGUCACACACUACACGCACAACUCCAUUCCUAUCUCCUGAUGAACCCACACUGCAUGACUUUGAACUGACACCGCAAAUCACACAUGGAGCUCACUCAGUCAGGAGACGAAGAAGUUCCCCCAUGGACCUGAACUCCAUCGCACUGAAUGCCAUUUGUGCACCUGGACAACCUGGACCGUGCAUUAUGCAACCUGAUAAUCAGCAUGUCACAUUCUUUAUUGACCUGUGCUUUACCUUUCGUUGCCCGAUGAGAGACGAUGCAGAGUACUAUCUGACCGUUCCCAACCACUCCUGGGACGAAGUGGUGGCUGACACAGAAUCGGACUGGGCCCCCACGUGCGACGGCGCUAGGUGAACCAGAAACGGUCGUAAGCAUCUACCCGAUGUCAAACUAUCGAAAGCUGUAACAGAAAUUGAAGGGUUUGGUUUGUUUGUUUCUGUUGAUACCUGUCAUCACAACAUCACGGACUGGGAGUCGGACAACCACUGGGGUAAAACUAGAAUUUUCAACGCCCUUAGUCCUGUGACCAGAGAGCUCGUGGUUGGGAGACCUGUUUGGUCGAUGGUUUGGGAAAUUCAAGGGGUUCUUCCUGGCAGUUGUCACAUUGAUCGGUGUUUUUCUUGCUCUUCUCAUUACCUGUUGUUGUUUCUGUGCUCCUUUGCUCAGAUCUCUUAUUGCUCGAAUGAUUGCGUCCAUGAUUGAGAAGAACUCACCCCCGUCCUAUCAGAUGUUGGUCACUGAUGAUGCUCCACCUUAUGUCACAUUGCCUGUUAAUGAUGUACCGCUUCCGCUGUAUUGUGAGAGUGAGGAAGGACACACUCUGCUGUAAAAAUGUAUGAGUGUAGUGAACCCAGCUUAGCUGGGUUCAAGAGAGGGAGUAUCAUUUUUCCUACUGCUGUGUGAUCGCAGGUUGACUGCGAUCAAGAGAGGGAAUUGUCGUAUAAUGCAUUUACAUUCUAACCACUAUGCUGUGAUCACUCGUUAAUCCACCAUAUAUAACCACAUUCUAAAUCAUUUUGCUGAGAUUCACUUGUUUAUAUACAGUUUUAAUCACAUUCUAAUGAAUAUGUACUGAUUCAACUGUUCACUAUAUUUUUACUUCAUAUAUACGUAUUCUGUGAUUGUUUCAUGAUUUUGAGGCCUUCAGUAUAACAGGCUGUGACUGAAAGCUCAUUCUGUGUGCAUUCUGACGGUCCCAGGCCGGUUUCAAGGUUAGGAGCAGGGAGUAGAUCUACUCCCUGUUCUCUCCCCACAUGAGAAAAGACCUGAUUAUUUCCUUCAAAGUACGUGUGACCUUCAUGAAACAAUUACUGUCUGUUGGUCUUCGAGAAAAACAACCCUGUGACAGUCAGAGUGUUAUCAGAAUGUAACUAUCAAUCAUAUGCAAACCCAACAGUAUAACUUCCCAAGCAGAGGAGAGAUCGGGGCCAUUUUCUGCUGGAGACUCUGAUGCUGUCAGAGCUCACGGACAUGGUCCAGGACUCCUGUUUUUCUUUUAUUGCUAGCAUUUAGGUUAUCUCCCUGUCUGAUCAACUUUCUAUUGAAUUAAAGAUCUUGUGCAGAGAC